GACGAACGCUGGCGGCGUGCUUAACACAUGCAAGUCGAACGGAAAGGCCCUGCUUUUGUGGGGUGCUCGAGUGGCGAACGGGUGAGUAACACGUGAGUAACCUGCCCUUGACUUUGGGAUAACUUCAGGAAACUGGGGCUAAUACCGGAUAGGAGCUCCUGCUGCAUGGGGGGGGUUGGAAAGUUUCGGCGGUUGGGGAUGGACUCGCGGCUUAUCAGCUUGUUGGUGGGGUAGUGGCUUACCAAGGCUUUGACGGGUAGCCGGCCUGAGAGGGUGACCGGCCACAUGGGGACUGAGAUACGGACCAGACGCCUACGUGAGGCAGCAGUGGGGAAUAUUGCACAAUGGGCGGAAGCCUGAGGCAGCAACGCCGCGUGCGGGAUGACGGCCUUCGGGUUGUAAACCGCUUUCGCAUGUGACGAAGCGUGAGUGACGGUAAUGGGUAAAGAAGCACCGGCUAACUACGUG
This 468-nucleotide ribosomal RNA is filed under the name uncultured bacterium. RNAcentral describes it as "partial 16S ribosomal RNA". It matches the Rfam family "Bacterial small subunit ribosomal RNA", at positions 28 to 507 of the family's 1533-position model. The record is from RNAcentral.